AGAAUCAACGCUGGCGGCGUGCCUAACACAUGCAAGUCGUACGCGAAAGGGGCUUCGGCCCUGAGUAGAGUGGCAAACGGGUGAGUAACGCGUGGGUGACCUGCCUUCGAGCGGGGGAUAACGUUCCGAAAGGGACGCUAAUACCGCAUGACAUCCUGCCUUUGGACAGGCGGAGAUCAAAGCCGGGGAUCGCAAGACCUGGCACUCGAAGAGGGGCCCGCGUCCGAUUAGCUAGUUGGUGGGUAAUGGCCCACCAAGGCGACGAUCGGUA
Molecule: ribosomal RNA, 271 nt
Filed under: uncultured bacterium
Lineage: Bacteria
Description: partial small subunit ribosomal RNA
Rfam family: Bacterial small subunit ribosomal RNA
Source: RNAcentral